Non-coding RNA from Phascolarctos cinereus (koala), 465 nucleotides. The record is from the annotation of a RefSeq genome assembly. NCBI's taxonomy places the organism in Eukaryota, Metazoa, Chordata, Mammalia, Diprotodontia, Phascolarctidae.
AUGGGUUUAGGACUGAAAGGAAUUUUCAUUCUGACUCUUUUACAAGGUGUCCAUUUUGAUGUUCAGCUGGUAGAGUCUGAGGGUGAUGUGAGACAGCCUGGAGGAUCUCUUAGCCUUUCCUCCAAAGCUUCUGGAUUCACCUUCAGUAGCUGUGGUAUGGACUGGGUCCACCAGGCUCCAGGGAAGGGGCUGGAGCAGCUCACAUAUAUUAGUACUAAUGGAGGAACACACUAUGCAGGCUCUGUGAAGGGCCGAUUCACCAUCACCAGGGACUACAGCAACAGCAUGCUGCACCUGCAAAUGAAUUCUCUUAAAGCUGAGGACACAACCAUGUCUUACUAUACAAGAGACACAGUGAGUAAAUUGAAUAUGAGACCAGAUAUAAACCCCCUCAUUCAGACAGGCCAUGAGGAGAAUGACUUAGAAAGGGAAGUCAAGAACACUGAGCACAAGGAGACCACUUAG